This 445-nucleotide ribosomal RNA is filed under the name uncultured bacterium. Its description in RNAcentral is "partial 16S ribosomal RNA". It matches the Rfam family "Bacterial small subunit ribosomal RNA", at positions 354 to 796 of the family's 1533-position model. The record is from RNAcentral.
GUGAGGAAUAUUGCGCAAUGGAGGCAACUCUGACGCAGCCAUGCCGCGUGCAGGAAGAAGGCGCUACGCGUUGUAAACUGCUUUUAACCGGGAAGAAACCCCAGGACGUGUCCUGGGUUGACGGUACCGGAGGAAUAAGCACCGGCUAACUUCGUGCCAGCAGCCGCGGUAAUACGAAGGGUGCAAGCGUUAUCCGGAUUCAUUGGGUUUAAAGGGUGAGUAGGCGGAGCGUUAAGUCAGUGGUGAAAUCCUGCAGCUUAACUGUAGACUUGCCAUUGAUACUGGCGCUCUUGAGUGCGCUUGAAGUGGGCGGAAUGUGCCGUGUAGCGGUGAAAUGCUUAGAUAUGGCACAGAACACCAAUUGCGAAGGCAGCUCACUAAGGCGAUACUGACGCUGAGGCACGAAAGCGUGGGGAUCGAACAGGAUUAGAAACCCGAGUAGUCC